Molecule: ribosomal RNA, 199 nt
Filed under: uncultured bacterium
Lineage: Bacteria
Description: partial 16S ribosomal RNA
Rfam family: Bacterial small subunit ribosomal RNA
Source: RNAcentral
ACGCUCGACACCUACUGGAGGCAGCAGUUGGGAAUAUUGGACAAUGGAGGAAACUCUGAUCCAGUGACGCCGCGUGAAGGAAGAAGGUCUUCGGAUUGUAAACUUAUUUUGUCAGGGAAGAAAAAUGACUGUACCUGAAGAAAAAGCACCGGCUAACUACGUGCCAGCAGCCNCGGUAAUCUGAGCGGGCUGGCAAGGC